Molecule: ribosomal RNA, 254 nt
Filed under: uncultured bacterium
Lineage: Bacteria
Description: partial 16S ribosomal RNA
Rfam family: Bacterial small subunit ribosomal RNA
Source: RNAcentral
UACGAAGGGGGCUAGCGUUGCUCGGAAUUACUGGGCGUAAAGGGCGCGUAGGCGGAUACUUAAGUCGGGGUGAAAGCCCAGGGCUCAACCCUGGAAUAGCCUUCGAUACUGGGUAUCUUGAGUUCGGGAGAGGUGAGUGGAACUCCGAGUGUAGAGGUGAAAUUCGUAGAUAUUCGGAAGAAACACCAGUGGCGAAGGCGACUCACUGGCCCGAUACUGACGCUGAGGCGCGAAAGCGUGGGGAGCAAACAGGG